Triticum urartu is the source of this 3792-nucleotide long non-coding RNA. RefSeq lists it as uncharacterized. Lineage: Eukaryota; Viridiplantae; Streptophyta; Magnoliopsida; Poales; Poaceae. The record is from RefSeq and is a predicted model, not a curated record.
AGGUUUACUUCACAAGAAAGAGAGAGAGGGAUUGGCCAGCGAUGAGAGAAAGGGAUUGGCCCCCAGUCCCCAUUCCCCGAUUCUUCUCCCUCUCCCUUGUCGCCGCCGCCGCCACCGGCGACCUCCCUGCAGCCGCCGCCAUCAGCCACGCCCUCCCCAACGGCUGACUCUCCCACCUUUUUUCUUCUCACCAUCAACGACCUCUCCUCCCCCUCGCACCAGAUCGAGCAACAUGUCGGGCAGGGCAGAGCGGAGCGGGGAUGGGAGGAGACGGGCAGACGGUGGCGGCGGCGUCCUCCUCGCCCAUCGGCGCGCAACACCUGUCAGAGCCCCGUCGGCUCCGUCGAUCUGCCAGACCUAGGUCGCCGGUGUGGCUGCUGUCUCAGGCGAGAAGAGGAGUGGUCGCGUUAAGACACGGGGAGGGGGAGCAGCCAACCGUGCUCAAGGCCGUCCGUGGCGGCUGCAAAUCGAGGCGGCGGCUACAAAUUGAAGGUCAGUGCGCGGCGGCCCUCUCUCCUUCUUAUCCCCUCUCGCUCGAGAGAAAGUUGCGGACAUAUUGGCAGUGGCCUGUCCGCGGCGUCGUCCUCAGCCAGAGAAGGGGAGAGGAGGGAGAGGGAGAUGGUGAGUCCACGGAGAAGCGCCACCGGGAGCAGAUCCGGCCAUCGGCGGCAAGAAAGGCCACGCCCCCCUCUACCUCCGUACCGUCACCCAGGGUGUUACUUUUCCUUGGUUGCUCAGUGACUGAAUGAACUGGUGCGCUCUACUAUGGCUGGAAGUAGGCAAGGUGGACUAAUCGCGGGAGCUUCGGCUGCAAUGAUGUUUGCUGGAUUGAAUGGUUACUUGGAAAGUACUGGUCAAAUCAUGGAAGUCUCGAAGAAGAUACUAAAAGAGUAAAAAACUGUUUGAAUAUCGUGCUUGAAAGGUUUCUAAAAAGUACACACCGAUCUGUAUAAGGACUGACGCUAGCAGGGGUUUGCCAUUUUUCCUGAGCAUUUUCCAAAUAAAAAUGUUUCUAUACAAGUUAUAUGUGUCCUUCUCGUAAAUGUGCUGCAACUGGAUCCUUACAAUUCUCUAUUUUUUCAGUUGUACUAACAGUAGUUGUCUGUGCAAAAUGAAGGCCUUUGUGAUGCGGGUUGAGGAGGAAGAUGACUCGGAAGAGGAAGAUCACAGAUCAUGAGCUAUACAAUACUAAUCCAUGGGUUUGCUCCUACUCCCCUCUUCCACCAGAUUUUCCCCAGUGAAUCAUGUAAUGGAGGACCAGUGCUUCAUCGAGUCCAUCCCGCCCCUUGGCACUGCCAUUGGCGUCUUCAACAACCUCGCUGAGUACGACGUAGCAUGCUUCGACGUAUAAAGUAAUUUGUGCCAUCAUCUUUGCCAUCUAUUUAUGUUUAGGACUGUGACAUGUUACUACUAACUGAUUAUGCAUGUUGUUAGUAUAUGAUCUGUACAAGAUCAACGGCUAAAAGGGUGUCUACAUCGCAGUUGAGUUGGAUACCUGAAGCUCGAGGAUUAGGGUGCCGACACAUCGUCGCCAGCCACAGGGUUGUGACACCUUGCUAGGUGCUCGCCAUGUCCUACAUCUCUGUAGGAACACGUCAGGCAGGAGCUCAGGCCCAUAUCCUUGCUCAAGUGCUUCCGAGUGAGGAAGACUGCGAGGGGUUGGACAUGCAAUGGCCUAGCGGAGUCGUCCGCGGCGCGCGGCCGCCGGUAUGGAGGCCCAGGCUCGGGCUUAACUCAGCAAGCUUUGGUGCUUAUUUAUUAAUAAUCAUGGGUUCUGACCAUGUCAGUAGCGUCCCCUUGUCGUCGACGGUGGCUCAGGGAAAUCUAGGAAGGGGGCGAGUCCGUCCCACGGUGUCGCUGUCGGGGAGAACUAAGGGAGCUCCCUGUCUUGGUUUGCAGCAAGUAUGUUCAGCACGCCGCCGCCAGCCACAAGCAUCGCCGUGAGGAGGACAAAAGUGAGAAUGGUACCUUCGACAAAUCAAUCUCAUUCCCCCCUUCUUUGCGACGCAGAUAGAUCACACUAAUUCAACAAGUAUGUCCGAUUUGUUGUUCACAAAUUAAACAUUAAGGCAAUUAGGAUCUGAAUCUUUGAGAUGUUUAGCUUUACAUGUUCAUUAGGGAUUUGUUGUUGCUGAAAGGGAGCAAAAUAGAGGGAAUAUCUUUUUCCAAAAAAAGUUUACAUAUUGAGUUGUACGCCUGUACUUUAGAAUGUAAUCUUGGUAUUCAAACUGCAUCAUACCAUUACUAAAAAGAUUUGGAAUUUAUCUUGUAUGUGAUUGAUUUGUAGGGCUGUAGGCUGGUGAGGUCUAGUUAUAGCACAAUGCUUCAGACUAAUAUCAAAGGAAUAAAUUGAUCAAUAAGUUUCAGCCAUGGUUAGCCUCUCUUGCAAUUUUGUGAUGUCAGGUUUUAGCCAUACUUUUUGUGUCAACGGAUGCAGAUUAGGUUGGUAGCCUACAUCUAUUUCUUUGCAGUUUUUCCGUGUUGUUUGGCUAAUAGUGCUACUCUGUAUCAUCUCCAAACAAGGGUUAGUUAGCUAUCUUUAGCUCUUACAUGCAGCACAAACAUUGCAUGCAUUUGUACAUAUAUAGCAGGAUUUAGAUCCCUUUGUUUUUACAUGGCAGAACUACCACUAUGUGUGUUAUUAGCUUGAUUCACUAUGCGUAGUAUUCCAUCCAUUGUCUCUAUUCAUUGUCUCUCUUCGGUUCUUUCUCUGCGAAAUCUUAAUUUCUGGACUGCAAGUUAGAAUGUGCGAAACUAACUGUUUUCCUUUCUGGUUAGGGUUCUCAUUACUAACCUGCAUUUCUUAAUUUAGUUAUAAUUUUAUCAAUAAUUCAUUGUUCUUAUUCUAUGAUUUGAAGUGUAACAUUGCCAUUUUACUAAUAAUUUCUUGCUGACAUUGUAGUCUGGGGUUGUACUAUCUGUUUGCUUCAUAAAAAAAUAAUAUUGAAAGGUGGUUGGCGGAUAUAUUGAGCUACCUAACAUACCAUGAUGUCAUGAUCUUGCUGUAAACUUAGACCUGGCUAUAUUUAUUUAUUUUUCUAUCAAAUGCUAGAAGUACUGAGAUGUCUGUCAAUUGACAAGGUUCUUAUACUUGUCAAUUUGUAUGCUUUAAGUAGAGUAAUACAGUCUGGCUGAAACAUUACUCACAUUUCAGUUAAGUUUAUUAUGAUCCACUUACUGGGAGAAGAUAUUAUUGUUAUUGUUAGUUGUUACCCGUUUCUAUCUUAUCAUGGAGGGUGUAAGUGGUGACUUGUAUAUAUUCGUCCAUGUUGAAGCAGAACAAGGCAUCCACAGAGAAGGUCUCAAAUUUGUAUUUUGAUAUAAUGAUUGGUUACACUGAUGCAGUUUUAGGAACAAUAGUGAAGGUGAGUUAUCGAAACUCGAAAGAUCGAAACCUUUUUUGACAUGUAAUUGUUGUCCUCAAGUUAGAUCACACAAAACUUACAUGUUGCCUUAUAACUGAAAUAUAUCCUCUGUUAAUUCCAUAAUUGUGCAUUCUUAUUUUGUGCUACAAAGACUCCCACUUAAGCUUAAUCGAGAAAUCAACCUUGUUAUUCAGGUUGAGGCAAUGGAGGGAUUGAAUGAUCUUUAUUAUUAUUUUGCAUAUAACCUUACAUGUUGAGGUUUUUCCUUUGUGUCCUUCGCUAGCUCGUGCGUGUAUGUUAGUGAUGGACAACCACAAAGACUAAAUGCUAAUUGGGUUCUAUUUAUUACUCUGAUCUUGUGGUUUAAAAUGGUUUGUGUAAACCACACUUUGAAUAUUAAGAUAUUCAUGAUGCUAUUAUUUUUUAA